UACGGAGGGUGCGAGCGUUAAUCGGAAUUACUGGGCGUAAAGCGCACGCAGGCGGUUUGUUAAGUCAGAUGUGAAAUCCCCGGGCUCAACUUGGGAACUGCAUUUGAUACUGGCAAUCUUGAGUAUCGUAGAGGGGGGUAGAAUUCCAGGUGUAGCGGUGAAAUGCGUAGAGAUCUGGAGGAAUACCGAUGGCGAAGGCAGCCCCCUGGACUAAAACUGACGCUCAUGUGCGAAAGCGUGGGGAGCAAACAGG
RNAcentral lists this ribosomal RNA (253 nucleotides) under uncultured bacterium. RNAcentral describes it as "partial 16S ribosomal RNA". It matches the Rfam family "Bacterial small subunit ribosomal RNA", at positions 524 to 776 of the family's 1533-position model. The record is from RNAcentral.